UGCUCUAAAAACCUUCCAAAUUGUGUUUUCAUUUGGUUAUCGAGUUUUAUGUAAAGCUUUGUUAACGAGCUUCACCCAGCUAAUAUCAUUGAAUCGAGGCCCACAAGCAUAUAUUCUUGACGAUACGAAUCCUAUCUACUUUGAUAUAUGUAUCGUAACCUCCGUCAGAUCGUCUUCCCCUCCAUUCAUCUGACAAAGUAACUCACAUACAUCAAUGGUGAGCAAUCAAUUUCAUCCCACAUUCUCACAACCCGAAGGGAGUAUCUAUAGAUGUCCCCUAAAAUAUUUCCACUUUUCCAAUUUUAAGUAGGACGUUGCAAGGAGACAGUCGUAACAUGUAUUCUUCGAUAUUGAACGUUUAGAAAGCAUGUGAGCUUCUGGGUGUGGACCUGGUUUUUGUUGACGAAAAGUCGACGUUGAUCAAAGGGUCUAUUGGGUUUCAUAGACUGAACCCUUAGUUUCAAGCAACUGCUGACAUAUGAGUUAAGCUUAUUCCAUGUCACCAGAAGCAACAGCCACUUCAAGCUCACCAACUCACCUGUUGCCAUACACAUCAACGACCAGAACACGAUUGUUGAUAUGACGGAUACGACUGCUCUUAUCCCGACAGAGAAGUAUAGAUUUCGGAAAUAUAAACAGCUUAUGGUUUUGGCUAAUACGAACAUCGAUUUUUCGGACGUUUUUGGUGAUGCUUGUGGCAUCAAGAGAUUCAAGGCCACAUACAGUGACAAAAGUAGACAGCCGUAUGCGUUAGUGUGUUUGAUAUGGUUGCAAAUAAGCUUCAUCAUAAGUUCGAGACAUUGUGCGUGGAGCCUAAAGUCAUUGUUUCUACGGACAUAAACCCAAAAUUUGUUGGAGGGCCAUAGCGUUGUUGGAAAAGAAUGCGGGAGAGAAGUAAGAAAGCCACAUUGCAGCUGGUGGACGUAGAGUGCAAUUACCUUACUUUUGAUUUCUUUAUAAAGCUUCUCCAGCUCUGAGAAUGCCAAUUGUUUUCCUCAGUUCUGGUCAGUGGUUAUUUAGUUUUUGUGAGAUGAUCUACCCGGGAAGACAUCAUGCUGUAUCAUUUUAUUACAACAAGUCAACAACACAAAGUUUAAUCUGCUGCCUCUUUGUUUGUAUUCGCUUUUGACUAUUAACCUUUUUGCAUGUGCUCUGGCAUAUCAACGAUAUUUUUAAGUUAUGUAGAGAUCUUUGCUCUUUUCGGUUAUUAAAUUAUUUUAUUAGUUGCCAAACACCCCUUCUUCUUUUUUAUUCGAACUGAAAUUGACUAUAAAGAUAAUCUACUCAGUCUCUAGUGGAAGCCAUUUAUAAACAUCAAAACGUUUAGUUAUAAAUAAAACAGUAACAACUCAAAAAUGGCUUUGGAUAAGUGUUUGAUAAACACCAAUUACAUAUACUAAUUAAGAAGAUAAAAUAAGAAACCUAUUAAAUAUCAAAUUGAGGGAAUGCUUUGACGAAUCUAAUUUAAAAAAACAUAUGUAUUUUUCGAAAUCAUGAAAGCUUAGAGUGCUACUGCCUUCCCUAUAUCACUAUGAAGACAUUUCUCUAUCCAAGAUCAUGUUUUGAGAUGGACGCAUAUUCGAAAGUUAAAUGAUCAUUAUGGGUGAAACCAUAAUCUAUUCACAAUAUGAUAGCCUACAAUGAGAAAGCUACAAAUAUUUUUUUUAUUGGUCAAAAACAUGAUAUGACAAAGGAAAAUAUUUCCAAUUAUCAUAUAUAUAAUUUUUUUUUAGCAUUCGCGAAUAAUCCUCUUGUUUAGUAUAAAACAGAAUAAAAAAAAUACAGUCAGUUUAAUUUAAAUUUAUCUCUGAAUAAUAGGUCCACAAAAUUUCAAAGAUUCCAAAUUGUUUGGCCAUCAGUAAAUCUAUUUAAAACUGUAUGUAUACCAAAAUAAAAAUAGGCUGCUUAAAUAUGUAUAUAACUAGGCUGCAAGUGUUAAGCUAAGCCUAAGAGCAUGAUUAUUGGGGGUUAUUAAGAUGGGAUUCUUACCAGAAUAUAAGAGCCCGUCUCUUAAAUUUUAACUAAAAAUGCUAAGAACCCGUCUCUCGUCGGGAACCCAUAAACUUUGCCCUCUCCGGUGGAAUGGAUGCCAUCUCAAUCCGAUCGGACUCUCAAGCUCUCAUCACCAUCAUCAACCGACAAGAAAUGAAAUUAGAGAUAUUUGGCAUUCUACGGGAUAUCUACCUUCUUAUUCAUGCAUUUAAGACUGUCCAAAUUUAAUUGUCUCAUCGAUAUUUUCUUUUUUUUUUUUUUGAUAAGUAUGUGAAUUUUCAUUAACUUGUUAAUGACACAAGGAGAUUACAGGUUUUGAAGAACUCAAAUCCUAGAAAUCUAAUAGGCUAAUUAAAGCACAAAUGCUAAAGAAAGCCACAAAAAAAGGUAAAAAAGACUCUCUAGAGCAACAAAAGGUUUAAUCUUGAUCUCUAGAGAACAGACUAAAGCUUGGCAAUUGAACUUUUCAGAACAACCAUUCGGUUUCAGUAGAUCACUUCUUGGCCUUGAUACCGGAACCUGUAACAAGAGAGGAGAUCAAUAGAGUUCGCAACCGGAGAACAGUCGGAGGCACCGCAGACCGUCCCAAAGGCGACUGCGACAGGAGAACAGGCGAAGCAUGGUUGACCAAGCCGUGGUCCGGCCAUCACAUCCAUUACAGUCCACUCCAGACGAAGCUCACUCAGGAAAGGUGACUAAUCGAGCCCUGAGAAUCCAAACCGACACAAAGAGGCCAGUAGCUGAAGCACCGGUGAAAUACUGGCAGACGGAAGCGGAGG
Long non-coding RNA from Brassica rapa (field mustard), 2771 nucleotides. RefSeq lists it as uncharacterized. Lineage: Eukaryota; Viridiplantae; Streptophyta; Magnoliopsida; Brassicales; Brassicaceae. The record is from RefSeq and is a predicted model, not a curated record.